RNAcentral lists this ribosomal RNA (252 nucleotides) under uncultured bacterium. RNAcentral's name for it is "partial 16S ribosomal RNA". It matches the Rfam family "Bacterial small subunit ribosomal RNA", at positions 524 to 776 of the family's 1533-position model. The record is from RNAcentral.
UACGUAGGGGGCAAGCGUUAUCCGGAUUUACUGGGUGUAAGGGGGCGCAGACGGCGAUGCAAGCCAGGAGUGAAAGCCCGGGGCCCAACCCCGGGACUGCUCUUGGAACUGCGUGGCUGGAGUGCAGGAGGGGCAGGCGGAAUUCCUGGUGUAGCGGUGAAAUGCGUAGAUAUCAGGAGGAACACCGGUGGCGAAGGCGGCCUGCUGGACUGCAACUGACGUUGAGGCCCGAAAGCGUGGGGAGCAAACAGG